This 459-nucleotide ribosomal RNA is filed under the name uncultured bacterium. Its description in RNAcentral is "partial 16S ribosomal RNA". It matches the Rfam family "Bacterial small subunit ribosomal RNA", at positions 338 to 795 of the family's 1533-position model. The record is from RNAcentral.
CCUACGGGUGGCAGCAGUGAGGAAUAUUGGUCAAUGGACGAGAGUCUGAACCAGCCAAGUAGCGUGAAGGAUGACUGCCCUAUGGGUUGUAAACUUCUUUUAUAAAGGAAUAAAACGAGGCACGUGUGCCUUUUUGCAUGUACUUUAUGAAUAAGGAUCGGCUAACUCCGUGCCAGCAGCCGCGGUAAUACGGAGGAUGCGAGCGUUAUCCGGAUUUAUUGGGUUUAAAGGGUGCGUAGGCGGAUCGUUAAGUCAGUGGUAAAAUUGAGGGGCUCAACCCCUUCCCGCCAUUGAAACUGGCGCUCUUGAGUGGAAGAGAAGUAUGCGGAAUGCGUGGUGUAGCGGUGAAAUGCAUAGAUAUCACGCAGAACCCCGAUUGCGAAGGCAGCAUGCCGGCUUCCGACUGACGCUGAAGCACGAAAGCGUGGGGAUCGAACAGGAUUAGAUACCCUUGUAGUC